Molecule: unclassified non-coding RNA, 336 nt
Filed under: soil metagenome
Description: partial contains 5.8S ribosomal RNA, internal transcribed spacer 2, and large subunit ribosomal RNA
Rfam family: 5.8S ribosomal RNA (bases 1-120)
Source: RNAcentral
GAUGAAGAACGCAGCGAAAUGCGAUAAGUAGUGUGAAUUGCAGAAUUCAGUGAAUCAUCGAAUCUUUGAACGCACAUUGCGCCCCUUGGUAUUCCAUGGGGCAUGCCUGUUCGAGCGUCAUUUGUACCUUCAAGCUUUGCUUGGUGUUGGGUGUUUGUCUCGCCUUUGCGUGUAGACUCGCCUUAAAAUAAUUGGCAACCGGCGUAUUGAUUUCGGAGCGCAGUACAUCUCGCGCUUUGCACUCAUAACGACAGCGUCCAAAAGUACAUUUUACACUCUUGACCUCGGAUCAGGUAGGGAUACCCGCUGAACUUAAGCAUAUCAAUAAGCGGAGGA